Molecule: ribosomal RNA, 505 nt
Filed under: uncultured Oxalobacteraceae bacterium
Lineage: Bacteria; Pseudomonadati; Pseudomonadota; Betaproteobacteria; Burkholderiales; Oxalobacteraceae
Description: bacterial SSU rRNA
Rfam family: Bacterial small subunit ribosomal RNA
Source: RNAcentral
UAGUGAGUUUGAUCCUGGCUCAGAUUGAACGCUGGCGGCAUGCCUUACACAUGCAAGUCGAACGGCAGCACGGGGGCAACCCUGGUGCGAGUGGCGAACGGGUGAGUAACAUAUCGGAACGUGCCCUGGAGUGGGGAUAACUAGUCGAAAGAUUAGCUAAUACCGCAUACGAUCUACGGAUGAAAGUGGGGAUCGCAAGACCUCAUGCUCGUGGAGCGGCCGAUAUCUGAUUAGCUAGUUGGUGGGGUAAAGGCCUACCAAGGCAUCGAUCAGUAGCUGGUCUGAGAGGACGACCAGCCACACUGGGACUGAGACACGGCCCAGACUCCUACGGGAGGCAGCAGUGGGGGAAUUUGGACAAUGGGCGCAAGCCCUGAUCCAGCAAUGCCGCGUGAGUGAAGAAGGCCUUCGGGUUGUAAACCUCUUUCGCCUGUGACGAAGCGCAAGUGACGGUAACAGGUAAAGAAGCACGGCAACUACGUGCCAGCAGCCGCGGUAAUCUGAU